RNAcentral lists this ribosomal RNA (487 nucleotides) under uncultured bacterium. RNAcentral's name for it is "partial 16S ribosomal RNA". It matches the Rfam family "Bacterial small subunit ribosomal RNA", at positions 29 to 507 of the family's 1533-position model. The record is from RNAcentral.
ACGAACGCUGGCAGCGUGCUUCACACAUGCAAGUCGAACGCGCCUGUCCUCUGGGUUUCUGGGGGGUGGGUGAGUGGCGAACGGGUGAGUAACACGUGAGUAACCUGCCCCCUUCUUCGGGAUAACGGUCUGAAAGGGCUGCUAAUACCGGGUAUUCACUGGUCUCCGCAUGGGGUCUGGUGGAAAGGUUUUUUUCUGGUGGGGGAUGGGCUCGCGGCCUAUCAGCUUGUUGGUGGGGUGAUGGCCCACCAAGGCUUUGACGGGUAGCCGGCCUGAGAGGGUGACCGGUCACAUUGGGACUGAGAUACGGCCCAGACUCCUACGGGAGGCAGCAGUGGGGAAUAUUGCACAAUGGGCGCAAGCCUGAUGCAGCGACGCCGCGGGAGGGAUGGAGGCCUUCGGGUUGUGAACCUCUUUCGCCCGUGGUCAAGCCGCGACGUGGGUCGUGGUGAGGGUAGUGGGUAAAGAAGCGCCGGCUAACUACGUG